This 427-nucleotide ribosomal RNA is filed under the name uncultured bacterium. RNAcentral's name for it is "bacterial SSU rRNA". It matches the Rfam family "Bacterial small subunit ribosomal RNA", at positions 355 to 775 of the family's 1533-position model. The record is from RNAcentral.
UCGAGAAUUUUUCACAAUGGGCGAAAGCCUGAUGGAGCGACGCCGCGUGGGGGAUGAAUGGCUUCGGCCCGUAAACCCCUGUCAUUCGCGAGCAAUGCCUUCCCGAUAAUACCGGGACGGUUGAUCGUAGCGAAAGAGGAAGGGACGGCUAACUCUGUGCCAGCAGCCGCGGUAAUACAGAGGUCCCAAGCGUUGUUCGGAUUCACUGGGCGUAAAGGGUGCGUAGGUGGUGAGGUAAGUUCGAUGUGAAAUCUCCGGGCUCAACCCGGAAAAGGCAUUGAAUACUAUCUUGCUCGAGGUUUGGAGGGGGGACUGGAAUUCUCGGUGUAGCAGUGAAAUGCGUAGAUAUCGAGAGGAACACCGGUGGCGAAGGCGAGUCCCUGGACAACACCUGACACUGAGGCACGAAAGCUAGGGGAGCAAACAG